Molecule: transfer RNA, 84 nt
Filed under: Chloroflexota bacterium
Lineage: Bacteria; Bacillati; Chloroflexota
Also listed under: 2 other names
Description: tRNA-Leu
Rfam family: tRNA
About the family: Transfer RNA (tRNA) molecules are approximately 80 nucleotides in length. Their secondary structure includes four short double-helical elements and three loops (D, anti-codon, and T loops). Further hydrogen bonds mediate the characteristic L-shaped molecular structure. tRNAs have two regions of fundamental functional importance: the anti-codon, which is responsible for specific mRNA codon recognition, and the 3' end, to which the tRNAs corresponding amino acid is attached (by aminoacyl-tRNA synthetases). tRNAs cope with the degeneracy of the genetic code in two manners: having more than one tRNA (with a specific anti-codon) for a particular amino acid; and 'wobble' base-pairing, i.e. permitting non-standard base-pairing at the 3rd anti-codon position.
Source: RNAcentral
GCCGAAGUGGCGGAACGGUAGACGCGGUGGUCUCAAACACCAUUGUCCCUAAAGGACGUGUGAGUUCGAAUCUCACCUUCGGCA